AUGUCAAGAGAUCUAGAGAGAGAGGAACUAAAGGCAAACCAUGAACCACGUCCAGCUCCUUGCUCUUGCUAUGAUUCGCGUUCAACCCACUCCCUGCGUGCACCAAUGACCUCAUCCAUGAGACAAGGGGGGAAAGAGAGGGGGAGGAAGAUAGAGACAAACCUGAACCGCCUCAACCUUCUUGCUCCUACUGCUCCGACCAGUAAGUCUCCCUCCACGGCCGACCCCGCCCACAUUCGCCACUGCACCAACUCCGCUACUUUCCCCAUCAAGGCAGAGCUCCCGUGCAUGUCUUGUUCGGAGGGGCUCUCCGAGGCCUCGAGGUCCUCAUCAAGAUCUCGUCCUCCGAGUACUUCACCCCAUACUUUUCGCCUACUGUUCUGUACACCUGAAUUAACAUUUAGAACACAAGCCAUAUUAAUCAAACCACCAUAUGCAUACCCAAUUAACAGAGGAAAGGGAGAUUUUUAUCAGUAA
Molecule: ribosomal RNA, 477 nt
Filed under: Triticum aestivum (bread wheat)
Lineage: Eukaryota; Viridiplantae; Streptophyta; Magnoliopsida; Poales; Poaceae
Description: partial small subunit ribosomal RNA
Source: RNAcentral